UGAAAACAUGAUGAUUAAACAUAUAAUCAAAACAACAAAAUCAUUGUCUGAUGUGUUCAAAACCUGAACAAAGGUUGACAGCUGCAUACUCAGAAGCUAAAAGGAAGCAUUAAAAAGAAGCAAAGAAAGAAUGGCAGUGUUAAUAAAGUCUGUGUUUGAAUUCUCUGGUUAAGGUUAGUGACAGUGCUAAGAUCUCAUGACUACAGUAAAGGACUUCAUGGUAACAACUCACCAGUCAACAAGGACUCUGGAGAGCAGCUGCUGUGGAGCUAUCACUUCCCUAGCAGGAGAUGGCAGUAAGCAGUAUUCAAGGAAAGAAGGCUUCCAAUGGCAUUUAGACAAACGAUCAUAG
RNAcentral lists this long non-coding RNA (352 nucleotides) under Cricetulus griseus (Chinese hamster). RNAcentral's name for it is "lncRNA (ENSCGRG00000024526.1)". The record is from RNAcentral. Lineage: Eukaryota; Metazoa; Chordata; Mammalia; Rodentia; Cricetidae.